AGACUCUGUGCGCGUGCAUAUCAAUAAGCGGAGGAAAAGAAACUAACAAGGAUUCCCUUAGUAACGGCGAGUGAAGCGGGAAGAGCUCAAAUUUGAAAUCUUCGAGGUUCUACCUUGACGAAUUGUAGUUUAUAGAAGUGUUUUCUGUUAGUAGAGUGGUAAAAGUUCUUUGGAAUAGGACAUCAUAGAGGGUGAGAAUCCCGUAUUUGGUACAUUACUCUUCUAGCUGUGUGAUACACUUUCAACGAGUCGGAUUGUUUGGGAAUGCAGUCCAAAAUGGGUGGUAAAUUUCAUCUAAAGCUAAAUAUUGGCGAGAGACCGAUAGCGAACAAGUACCGUGAGGGAAAGAUGAAAAGAACUUUGAAAAGAGAGUCAAACAGUACGUGAAAUUGUCAAAAGGGAAGCGUUUGACACCAGUGUUGUUUUCUCGAAAAUCAAUUAAAAAUAGGCUUGAUUUUGUGUUGUAUUGACUCUUAUAGGCUUUCUGCACUCUUUUUCCUGUUAUUUUUAAUGCACUUUUCGUUUAACAAGUCAACAUCAAUUUCUUUUGUUGUAAAAGAGUCAUUGGAAGGUGGCUUUUUCUUCGGAGAAAGUGUUUAUAGCCUUUAAGCUUCUGCAAUCGGAGAGAUUGAGGUCUGCAGCGUAGAUCCUUCGGGGUUAGAUACAUUUGUGCUAAGCUACAGUUCUUUAUAGACAACUUGUUGACUAUGAUCGAUCCUGUAGCUUACUCGCUUAUGCUAUUUUACCUACGCUUAGGAUGUUGAAGAUGUAGCACAUCAU
Molecule: ribosomal RNA, 780 nt
Filed under: uncultured Neocallimastigales
Lineage: Eukaryota; Fungi; Neocallimastigomycota; Neocallimastigomycetes; Neocallimastigales
Description: partial large subunit ribosomal RNA
Rfam family: Eukaryotic large subunit ribosomal RNA (bases 4-699)
Source: RNAcentral